This 1422-nucleotide long non-coding RNA is filed under the name Piliocolobus tephrosceles (Ugandan red Colobus). RNAcentral's name for it is "lncRNA (ENSPTEG00000022939.1)". The record is from RNAcentral. Lineage: Eukaryota; Metazoa; Chordata; Mammalia; Primates; Cercopithecidae.
AUGGGAACUUCCCUCCCCAAGUGGUGGGAAGUUACAGUUAACUACAACUUAACUAUCACUCACUUCCAGAGGUUUAGUGUUUUUAAUAUGGGAAAGAGGAGAAAUCUCAGGUCCAAUCAGGGUUCUGCCCAUCAGCUUUUCACUGAAACUUUCAAUCGUGGGUUUUUUUUUUCCCAUCUUUCAGUUUCUAGCUGUGUUUGCUUCCUCCCUCCAUGUUGCCUCCUCUUUUUUUUGCUUUUGGUCUCCUUUCCAGCUUCAUGUCUCCAUGAGUUCAGCUGUACCUUGUCUCCUGUUAAAUCUGAUCAUGUCCACUUUUUCUUACUGACCUUACUCAAAGCUACGGUAGCUGAGGGAGUUACAGUGAAAAGACAUGUAGCGUUUGCCUUAUUCGGAGCCUGAAGAGCCCAGAAACUCAUGCUGUGAAUCCCAAAACUCAGCACUCCUCAAGAGCUGUGAAAAUCAUGAUACUUUGUCACAAUUUUGCCUGAAAGGGUCUUUGGCACGAGCUCCAGAGCCAACCUGAGGUCCAUUCCAGAUCCUACUCUCUGGGCAUGAGACCUCCCCCAUGGCUCCUUCCUCGCCCACUGGGCCAAGAGCAGCAGGGAGCGUACAGGACGGCAGCAGCAGAUCCAAGGCCACAGUGCAGCUGAUGACUGCAUGGCCAUAGCUCCGUGUCCAGGCUGGGAUUCCGUCUCAUAAUCAAUGCCAUGUACAUUAAGAUCUGUGAAAGACCAACUUUUAGGCAGUGAUACUUUUCUCCCAUUCCCUGGGGUGGGGGGAGUAUGCAGUUGGUGCUUUCUGUAAUUCCCUUGUUCUGUUUUGUUUCUGUAAGCUUUCCCCCUGGUGUCAUGGAAAGGACCUCUUAAAUAACCACAUUGUGGGUGGCUGUAUCCAAAGUUUAAAUAAUUGGCCAGAAGUGCAGAGUAUCCUUUCCUGGAUCCAUUGUCAGGAAAGGGCUCCUUGCCAGAACUGAACUUGUUAUAUAAAAACCUGGCUAGGGAGAUUUAAUUUUACUAAAAUUACAGUUUAAUGUUACCAUCUAGCCACAAAUCGAGCAGCAAAAGCCAUUUUGAUGACGAAGGGGGGUCCUUGUUGAGCCGGCCAUCUAGUGCAGUGUGCUCUCAGAUACAAUGCUUGUUGAUUGUGUGUCUUCACAAGCCCCUCUCUGGUGCUGAAUUGGAUUUGAAUUCUUCGUGAGAGGCCUCAGCAUCUCCUUGGGCUGGUCUGGGCCAGUAAAAAUAGCUGCCUGACAUGUUUAUAUAUUAUCAUGGUCAGUAGUUCAAUGAAAUUUGUACAUUUUUGGUAACAUUGGUAUACAUGAUGCCCCUGCAGUUCCUUUUCUGUUUGGUAGUUUGUGACUCUAAAAAUUUCCACUGUUAUGUGUGUUAAUUUAUGAAAAUAAAUUUUUUUGAAAACCUUUCA